Molecule: long non-coding RNA, 437 nt
Filed under: Elaeis guineensis (African oil palm)
Lineage: Eukaryota; Viridiplantae; Streptophyta; Magnoliopsida; Arecales; Arecaceae
Description: long non-coding RNA (EGUI_LNC069307)
Source: RNAcentral
UAUUUGUUUAUCUUUGGCUAGUUAGGGGAAAGCUAAGGUCAUUAAAUCCUAAUGGUAAAGCAAAGCAGGCUUUAGAUUUCAGAUCAUAGUAAUGUGUUCAUGUCAAGAUCCUAAGCAUGAUUUUUCACUGUGCAUAAUCUGUUUUAUAAAAAAAUUUAAAGUACACAUAAAAAAUCACCACUUUCUAACACAUCAAAUGGCCAAGAUGUGUGGCAUCAAUUUAAAAUUGGUGUGGGGAAUGGAUGUGCAUGAGAAAAAAAUUCAGACUCCUCAACCACAUGGACUCUAUGUCCAAAUGGCACAAAGAUCAGGGGUUUUGGCUCAGAUAAGAUCAAGUCUAACUUGAUCAAAGACUUAUCCAUUUAAUUAGCCAUCUGAUGGUUGACCAAAAGUCCAUGCGCAAGAUAAGAAAUGCAUAGAAUCAAAAUGGAUAAGAA